AAGAAAGACAUAAAGGUUAUGGGACUGGCUUGAAACUAGUCUUUGGGGGUUCAAUUCCUUCCUUUCUUG
RNAcentral lists this transfer RNA (69 nucleotides) under Phyllomys pattoni (Rusty-sided Atlantic tree-rat). RNAcentral describes it as "tRNA-Ser". It matches the Rfam family "tRNA". Rfam says of the family: Transfer RNA (tRNA) molecules are approximately 80 nucleotides in length. Their secondary structure includes four short double-helical elements and three loops (D, anti-codon, and T loops). Further hydrogen bonds mediate the characteristic L-shaped molecular structure. tRNAs have two regions of fundamental functional importance: the anti-codon, which is responsible for specific mRNA codon recognition, and the 3' end, to which the tRNAs corresponding amino acid is attached (by aminoacyl-tRNA synthetases). tRNAs cope with the degeneracy of the genetic code in two manners: having more than one tRNA (with a specific anti-codon) for a particular amino acid; and 'wobble' base-pairing, i.e. permitting non-standard base-pairing at the 3rd anti-codon position. The record is from RNAcentral. Lineage: Eukaryota; Metazoa; Chordata; Mammalia; Rodentia; Echimyidae.